RNAcentral lists this ribosomal RNA (498 nucleotides) under uncultured bacterium. Its description in RNAcentral is "partial 16S ribosomal RNA". It matches the Rfam family "Bacterial small subunit ribosomal RNA", at positions 30 to 523 of the family's 1533-position model. The record is from RNAcentral.
AUUGAACGCUGGCGGCAUGCCUUACACAUGCAAGUCGAACGGUAACAGGUCUUCGGAUGCUGACGAGUGGCGAACGGGUGAGUAAUACAUCGGAACGUGCCUAGUAGUGGGGGAUAACUACUCGAAAGAGUGGCUAAUACCGCAUGAGAUCUACGGAUGAAAGCAGGGGAUCGCAAGACCUUGUGCUACUAGAGCGGCCGAUGGCAGAUUAGGUAGUUGGUGGGAUAAAAGCUUACCAAGCCGACGAUCUGUAGCUGGUCUGAGAGGACGAUCAGCCAAACUGGGACUGGGACACGGCCCAGACUCAUACGGGAGGCAGCAGUGGGGAAUUUUGGACAAUGGGCGCAAGCCUGAUCCAGCAAUGCCGCGUGCAGGAUGAAGGCCUUCGGGUUGUAAACUGCUUUUGUACGGAACGAAAAGCCCCGGGUUAAUACCCUGGGGUCAUGACGGUACCGUAAGAAUAAGCACCGGCUAACUACGUGCCAGCCGCCGCCGUAA